GGAGGCUUGGAAGUGUGGACGCCAGUCUGCAUGGAGCCGACCUUGAAAUACCACCCUUUAAUGUUUGAUGUUCUAACGUUGACCCGUAAUCCGGGUUGCGGACAGUGUCUGGUGGGUAGUUUGACUGGGGCGGUCUCCUCCUAAAGAGUAACGGAGGAGCACGAAGGUUGGCUAAUCCUGGUCGGACAUCAGGAGGUUAGUGCAAUGGCAUAAGCCAGCUUGACUGCGAGCGUGACGGCGCGAGCAGGUGCGAAAGCAGGUCAUAGUGAUCCGGUGGUUCUGAAUGGAAGGGCCAUCGCUCAACGGAUAAAAGGUACUCCGGGGAUAACAGGCUGAUACCGCCCAAGAGUUCAUAUCGACGGCGGUGUUUGGCACCUCGAUGUCGGCUCAUCACAUCCUGGGGCUGAAGUAGGUCCCAAGGGUAUGGCUGUUCGCCAUUUAAAGUGGUACGCGAGCUGGGUUUAGAACGUCGUGAGACAGUUCGGUCCCUAUCUGCCGUGGGCGCUGGAGAACUGAGGGGGGCUGCUCCUAGUACGAGAGGACCGGAGUGGACGCAUCACUGGUGUUCGGGUUGUCAUGCCAAUGGCACUGCCCGGUAGCUAAAUGCGGAAGAGAUAAGUGCUGAAAGCAUCUAAGCACGAAACUUGCC
Molecule: ribosomal RNA, 649 nt
Filed under: Escherichia coli
Lineage: Bacteria; Pseudomonadati; Pseudomonadota; Gammaproteobacteria; Enterobacterales; Enterobacteriaceae
Description: partial 23S ribosomal RNA
Rfam family: Bacterial large subunit ribosomal RNA
Source: RNAcentral